UGUACGAACUCUGGGGUGGAGUCAUUUACACUUCCGGUCCUUCAGUUGAGAUUUUUGAAAAGAAGAUGGACGCCAUUGAAGUACAGCGUGGGAUCGUAAAAGGGUCAGCAAAAUGCUCAUCAAUGUCCAGUACCAUGGAGAAAAAAGUACCUCAAACUGCAGCCUGGUUUUUCUUUUCAAAGUUUCGAGAAGAAGGAUACCAGUACGAAGUCAAGGAAAAAGAUAUGCACUCAUUGUGACUGUUUCCUAAUCUCAGGGAUCCUUACUCCACCAAUGGCUAUGAACAUUUCUACGAUGCUGGAAGAGGGACGGGCUAUCUGGCAUGGCGCCUAAAGCAACGAGUGUCGCAGCGUUUGGUCAAGAACAGCUCGGGAGCCUUGGAAUACAUGAGCUUUUUAAGGAGGUAGACUUUCUAAUGAGGAGACACAGCACUCAAAAAAUCCUCCAUAGAAAUGCAUGGGGUUAGUUUGUAACGUAUGGUGUUGUCUACAUAUAUCACACCCCCCUCCGUGGCAAAACGUGGACAUGUAAAUACAUUGAGCCAAUCAUGUGGUGUGUUGUGAAGACAUUGAUUGUGCCAAUCAUGUGUUGUGAUC
This is a long non-coding RNA of Alosa alosa (allis shad), 596 nucleotides long. RefSeq lists it as uncharacterized. The transcript is spliced from 4 exons. The record is from RefSeq and is a predicted model, not a curated record. NCBI's taxonomy places the organism in Eukaryota, Metazoa, Chordata, Actinopteri, Clupeiformes, Clupeidae.